This 291-nucleotide long non-coding RNA is filed under the name Brassica rapa (field mustard). Its description in RNAcentral is "long non-coding RNA (BRAP_LNC005552)". The record is from RNAcentral. Lineage: Eukaryota; Viridiplantae; Streptophyta; Magnoliopsida; Brassicales; Brassicaceae.
AGAAGUUAACUUGUGGAAGAGAAGAACCAUGGAUCCACCUAAACCACUUCAUCUUCAGACCUAAUGAUUAAAAACUCUUUUAAAUUUUUUAUCUUUUUCUUUCGUUAUAUAUAUAAGUUACUGCAAACCAAAUCAUAUAACGAUCAUCAUACACUGUGAAUCUGAUGAUUAUCAUUUUUCUUCUUUAGUUAAAUUAUGUGUGAAUACCUGUUUGGGUUCAAUUUUGAUAUAUGCCACAAGUGAAAUCUCUCUCUCUGAGACUACCUUCUUGCAACUACGAUUACAAAUUAU